This 266-nucleotide long non-coding RNA is filed under the name Pan troglodytes (chimpanzee). RNAcentral describes it as "long non-coding RNA NONPTRT012650". Lineage: Eukaryota; Metazoa; Chordata; Mammalia; Primates; Hominidae. The record is from RNAcentral.
AAUGAGCAGCUAGAAAAGUCAGAAGAAAACAAGGCAAAUGUGAAGUCCUGGAAGGCAAGCAAAGAAGGUAUUUAAGCAGGAAAGAGUGACCCUGCUAUAUAUAUAAAACCUAAAUAUAUGUCUUUACAGGUGCUUUAUGACAUUAUUUUAAAGGGAUCUCAAUUCAUGAUGAAUUCUUAAAAAAAAAAAAUUCUACCACCAUUUGUUACAAUCUGGCAGUGCUUACCAGUAGGGAUCAAAUUCUACAGGUUCACUUUCUCUAGACU